This 1653-nucleotide long non-coding RNA is filed under the name Equus asinus (donkey). RNAcentral describes it as "lncRNA (ENSEASG00005027304.1)". The record is from RNAcentral. Lineage: Eukaryota; Metazoa; Chordata; Mammalia; Perissodactyla; Equidae.
AUUGGAGCGUCCAUGCCUGUACAUGCACUGUUCUCUCUGCCCGGAGGGCUCCUCUCCCUCCUGCUCCUCUUUUGAGUCAUCUCAAGGAUCACCCCCUCUGACAAUCAUCUCCUGACCAGCCCUCUCCCCCAGCCCACGGUGACUGCCUCUCUCCUGUGCUUCCAUGGAAACUGGUGAGAACUUCUAUCGUUCCUGUGCCAUGCUUCCUUGUAAAUCAUGGUUUAUGUGUCUGCCUCCACAAAAGCCAGCAAGCUCCCCAAGGUAGCGACUGUGUUUGUCCUGGCAUUGUGAUGGGCUCUGAAAAUAUUCGUUGAGUCAAAAUGUUAUUGAAAAGCAAAGUACAGAGAGAGGAGAGAAAAAGAGGGACAGUGAAGAGCGCGCAAGAGAUCAACAACCACAAACUGGUAAUAGCUGACGUUUAUUGAGUUCUGUCUGCGUGCUGGGUACUGUACUAAAUGCUUCACAGGGACUGUGUCGCUUAAUCUCCACAAUACCCCUGUAGAUGUUAUUGGACUCAUUUAACAAAGAUGAGAACUAAGGCACAGAGAGGUCACGUAACAUGCCCGAGAUGCCCCCGCGGUGCAUGGAGAGCCGAGAUCCACACACAGGCAGUUCUACUCCCGAGUCUACUCUCGGCCCUCCCAGCCGAGAGGGGGGGGGGCUUUGUCUGGAGCCGUUAUCUAUACUCACUAGUUCAACAAUCAUUUCCUUAGCCCCUACUCUGUGCCAGACUGAGAAUACAACAGGAUGCAGAGGAGGGCACAGAUACCACGACAGUCGCUCAUAAUCCGGCCCUGGAGGAGCUCACAUUUUAGCAGAGAAGGGAGAUCUGUAAACCAAUAGGCACGGUUCCCCUAAGGACAGUUACUGAGGAAUGUUCCUAGAGCUAUUGGAUCCCGCAGCAGGCAGAUGGAUUUGCUCUGCCAGGGGUGGCAUUUGCUUUGGAUCUUGAGAGAGAAGCACAGACUCACAGCAGGGAAAUGAGCGAGGGAGAGCGACAAGAUUCAAGGCAGAAGGAAAUGCAGAAAUGUUGUAAAGGAGGCAUGAACAUCUUGGCAAGUUGCAGAAGGAUGAGCUGUCCCCUGGUACUGGAUUGAGGAGUGUUGGCUGGACACUCUGGAUUGACUCACUCCACAUCCAUUCCCAGUGUGCUUGACUGUUCUGCAGAACUGGAAAUAAAGCCACAUUUCCAGAAUGGCUUGAAGCUACGGUUCUGGAUGGAAUUCUACUGAUCAGAUGCACUUUGCAAAACCUAUCAGUCUGUGGUAUGCAGUAGCAGAAAAGCUCAAGAAAUUUGAGGCUGCAAACAUCCUUUUCCCAGACAUCCAGGACCUAGGUCAAAUCUCUCGAUUUCAAGACAAGUAAUGCCAGUAGAAGAAUUUCCCACGAGCUUGGAAACAAACUGGGUUUUCUGCAGAGUUCCUGAGAGUUGGGCUGCUCUGAUUCUCGUCCUCUCUCCCUGUGCUGACCAUAUUUGGCUGGUGACAAAGCAGGUGCACAGUAAGAAUUUAUUGGAAAUGGUCAAUCCCCAGGGAAUGUAAGGCUUAAACAAAGUUCUUAUUUAUUUCCUCCAUUUAUUAUCAAAAUGUUAAACAUUUUGUUACUAUUAAAACUGUGAUUUUUUUAGAUGUAUUUUUAAUAAAUCAGUUACAU